AAACCGUUCAGGGGUAAACCUGAGAAACCCGAAAGGUCGAACGGGGAGAUUCAGCGUCAGCGGCGUCGGUUCGGCGGUGGUCGGCGAUGUAGCCCGACGGCGGCCCUCGCGGUCGUCUCGAAGCUACACGUCAUCACUCUGCCGUGUCCGGCGUUCGCGGUCGUGCACUUCUCCCCUAGUAGAACGUCGCGACCCGUUGGGUGUCGUCGGUCUACGGUCCGGGCGGUAGCCUGUCUCGACGCUUCGUUGCGCACGUGACAGACCCCCGAUCGCCUGACCGGCUACCCGGCGGUAUCGAUCAUCAAACGGUAUCCGGCCGCAAAUUUCGAAUUGCGUCGGGCACGCUGCAAGCUCGAUCAGCGUUUGUUUCCUGGUGGUCACGGACCUAGCGCCGUCCCCGGGCCUGAUCAGCUGUUGGUAUUAGGCGGUGAGCUCCGACAGGCACGCGGGCGCCGGCGGUUUCGUCGGCGUUCGUUCGCGCGGUACCGGUCCGCGACGCUACUGCUUUGGGUACUUUCAGGACCCGUCUUGAAACACGGACCAAGGAGUCUAACAUGUGCGCGAGUCAUUGGGACUGCGAAUCCUAAAGGCGCAAUGAAAGUGAAGGUCGACCUUCGCGUCGACCGAGGGAGGAUGGGUCGCGUCGCGACGCGGCUCCGCACUCCCGGGGCGUCUCGUUCUCACUGCGAGAAGAGGCGCACCCAGAGCGUACACGUUGGGACCCGAAAGAUGGUGAACUAUGCCUGGUCAGGACGAAGUCAGGGGAAACCCUGAUGGAGGUCCGUAGCGAUUCUGACGUGCAAAUCGAUCGUCGGAACUGGGUAUAGGGGCGAAAGACUAAUCGA
Molecule: ribosomal RNA, 845 nt
Filed under: Trimeria rhachiphora
Lineage: Eukaryota; Metazoa; Arthropoda; Insecta; Hymenoptera; Vespidae
Description: eukaryotic LSU rRNA
Rfam family: Eukaryotic large subunit ribosomal RNA
Source: RNAcentral